This is a long non-coding RNA of Aedes aegypti (yellow fever mosquito), 402 nucleotides long. RefSeq lists it as uncharacterized. The transcript is spliced from 2 exons. NCBI's taxonomy places the organism in Eukaryota, Metazoa, Arthropoda, Insecta, Diptera, Culicidae. The record is from RefSeq and is a predicted model, not a curated record.
CCAAAUUUUCAUUUCGCCUUCCAGCAAAAUGAAUUGCUGAUACGGCUUCAGCAAACAAGAGUUUACUGUAAAAUCAGUAAUAUCAAUAUUGUUUGCUGAAUGGUUCAGUAAAUGAUAAAAUUACUGAAACAAUCAGCAAAGCAUGUGUCAAACACUUAUAUUUUUUUCUCGACGAAUUUCACAAGCAGCAUGCGCAGUAAAAAUGCUGUUUUUUUUUCAUAAAAUAUAAAUAAAAAUCAUUAAUUUGCAAGUUCUUAGCGUCAGAUAGAUGAAUCCGGUGAAGCAUCCAGUGGAUCUCUUGCUGCCUUGUUGACAACCAGGUCGAACAUUUUACAAGCAAACAAAUAACCAUUUUUGCAAAUAAAAUGCAUAUAGAGUCUCGUGUGAGAUAUAAAAAGGUUA